UACGUAGGGGGCAAGCGUUAUCCGGAUUUACUGGGUGUAAAGGGAGCGUAGACGGUUAUGCAAGUCAGAAGUGAAAGCCCAAAGCUCAACUUCGGGACUGCUUUUGAAACUGUGUAACUAGAGUGCAGGAGGGGUAAGCGGAAUUCCUAGUGUAGCGGUGAAAUGCGUAGAUAUUAGGAGGAACACCGGUGGCGAAGGCGGCUUACUGGACUGUAACUGACGUUGAGGCUCGAAAGCGUGGGGAGCAAACAGG
RNAcentral lists this ribosomal RNA (253 nucleotides) under uncultured bacterium. RNAcentral's name for it is "partial 16S ribosomal RNA". It matches the Rfam family "Bacterial small subunit ribosomal RNA", at positions 524 to 776 of the family's 1533-position model. The record is from RNAcentral.